AACGAACGCUGGCGGCAGGCCUACACAUUCAAGUCGAGCGAGGACCUUCGUUCUUGCGGCCGACGGGUGAGUUAAGCCGUGGGAUGUGCCCUUCUUUUCCGAAUAGCCCUUGGAAACUGGGGGUAAUACCGUAUACGCCCCUUUUGGGAAAGAUUUAUCGGAGAAGGAUCAGCCCGCGUUGGAUUAGGUUGUUGGUGGGGUAAUGGCCUACCAAGCCGACGAUCCAUAGCUGGUUUGAGAGGAUGAUCAGCCACACUGGGACUGAGACACGGCCCAGACUCCUACGGGAGGCAGCAGUGGGGAAUCUUAGACAAUGGGGGCAACCCUGAUCUAGCCAUGCCGCGUGAGUGAUGAAGGCCUUAGGGUUGUAAAGCUCUUUCAGCUGGGAAGAUAAUGACGGUACCAGCAGAAGAAGCCCCGGCUAACUCCGUG
This 432-nucleotide ribosomal RNA is filed under the name uncultured bacterium. RNAcentral's name for it is "partial 16S ribosomal RNA". It matches the Rfam family "Bacterial small subunit ribosomal RNA", at positions 29 to 507 of the family's 1533-position model. The record is from RNAcentral.